UGCGGCUUACUUUUGGGUUAUCGAAAGGACACGAAUACCCCAUAAAUAAUAUUCCGGAAGGAUCUAUGAGUUUCAAUGACUGCGAAGAGUAAAUAUAGGCACUUCUUAACAAUUUAACUUACACAUAUGCAAAUAUUAUGAUUUAAUUUUGUAUCCAGGACUUUAAGUAAACUAUGCAUACUGUAAACUGUUAAUUUAUGCUGAGUCAUCAUAUUUAAGGCCCAGGAUUCUAUCAAUCUUCAUUAAAUAUUUAUAAAACUUUUUAUUUGAGUUAAUUUCUUUAAAAUCUGUGAAAUUAAGCAAAUUUGGUUAAAUUCUGAAUGUUCCCCUUUUUCACCCUAUAUAGGUUGCAUUUCUGUAAAUAUUGACAAUGCAAUUUCCCAUAGGAACUCCUUUUACGGCUAAAACUGUACCACUUUUACUAUGAAGUUUUGAAAAAAAUCUUAUCCUAGAAUUGAAAGUUCAUAUGCACCACAAUUUUUUUCAAAGGUCAAAAUAUAGGGCUGUGCGGCAUAUUUUCAACGUUUAUAUGCCUUGAACUUCUCAGAGUUUAAACUUACACUAAUUUUCUUAACUACCCCUACCUCGAAUGAAAGGUUACCACAGAUUUCAAUGUAAA
Molecule: long non-coding RNA, 619 nt
Filed under: Mytilus galloprovincialis (Mediterranean mussel)
Lineage: Eukaryota; Metazoa; Mollusca; Bivalvia; Mytilida; Mytilidae
Source: RNAcentral